AGAGUUUGAUCAUGGCUCAGGAUGAACGCUAGCGGCAGGCUUAAUACAUGCAAGUCGAGGGGCAGCACGAAUAGCAAUAUUUGGUGGCGACCGGCAAACGGGUGCGGAACACGUACAGAACCUCCCUUCGAGCGGGGGAUAGCCCGGAGAAAUCCGGAUUAAUACCCCAUAGUAAAUUAGAAAGGCAUCUUUUUAAUUUUAAAGAUUUAUCACUUGAAGAUGGCUGUGCGCCUGAUUAGGUAGUUGGCGGGGUAACGGCCCACCAAGCCUUCGAUCAGUAACUGGUGUGAGAGCACGACCAGUCACACGGGCACUGAGACACGGGCCCGACUCCUACGGGAGGCAGCAGUAAGGAAUAUUGGUCAAUGGACGCAAGUCUGAACCAGCCAUGCCGCGUGGAGGAUGAAGGUCCUCUGGAUUGUAAACUUCUUUUAUUUGGGAAGAAAUGUGAAAAUUCUUUUUCACUUGACGGUACCAGAUGAAUAAGCACCGGCUAACUCCGUGCCAGCAGCCGCGGUAAUACGGAGGGUGCAAGCGUUAUCCGGAUUUACUGGGUUUAAAGGGUGCGCAGGCGGAUAUGUAAGUCAGUGGUGAAAUCUUUGGGCUUAACCCGAAAAUUGCCAUUGAUACUAUAUAUCUUGAAUGCUGUGGAGGUAAGCGGAAUAUGUCAUGUAGCGGUGAAAUGCUUAGAGAUGACAUAGAACACCUAUUGCGAAGGCAGCUUACUACGCAGAGAUUGACGCUCAUGCACGAAAGCGUGGGGAUCAAACAGGAUUAGAUACCCUAGUAGUCC
RNAcentral lists this ribosomal RNA (793 nucleotides) under uncultured bacterium. RNAcentral describes it as "bacterial SSU rRNA". It matches the Rfam family "Bacterial small subunit ribosomal RNA", at positions 8 to 796 of the family's 1533-position model. The record is from RNAcentral.